Molecule: transfer RNA, 73 nt
Filed under: Apaloderma vittatum (bar-tailed trogon)
Lineage: Eukaryota; Metazoa; Chordata; Aves; Trogoniformes; Trogonidae
Rfam family: tRNA
About the family: Transfer RNA (tRNA) molecules are approximately 80 nucleotides in length. Their secondary structure includes four short double-helical elements and three loops (D, anti-codon, and T loops).
Source: Rfam by way of RNAcentral
GGACCAUUAGCUCAGUCAGCUGAGCAUGGCGCUGACAACGCCAAGGUUGCGGGCUUGAUUCCCGUUCGGUCCC